UUCAGAACGGAAAUCGGACCGGUGCAAAGUGAAGGUCUUGACACCAGGAGUAUUUAUUUUAAAAGAAAGUUGAUGAUCGGAGGAAAGGAAGUGGUCGGAAUCUUAGAGAGAAGGUGGAGGUUUUAGAGAGAAUGAGGAGAAAAUGGUUUGCUGAAGGUUGAGGAUGAAGAGGUGCGUGCAGAGGAAAAAUGGCGUCAGUUUUAAAAUCCCAACUUAAAUAACCGGACGGUCAAGUCCCAUGCUGCCACAUGUUUUUCACUUCCUAGUUGUACUCCAUGAGCUGUCACUUGGAUUCCACUUCCUGCACAUCUCACCUUCUUUGCUGCCGCACGGUUUC
Molecule: long non-coding RNA, 337 nt
Filed under: Vigna radiata
Lineage: Eukaryota; Viridiplantae; Streptophyta; Magnoliopsida; Fabales; Fabaceae
Description: long non-coding RNA (VRAD_LNC003772)
Source: RNAcentral